Long non-coding RNA from Chinchilla lanigera (long-tailed chinchilla), 837 nucleotides. RefSeq lists it as uncharacterized. Lineage: Eukaryota; Metazoa; Chordata; Mammalia; Rodentia; Chinchillidae. The transcript is spliced from 2 exons. The record is from RefSeq and is a predicted model, not a curated record.
CGCAACCGUCAUCCCUUCCACCCGCGGAGGCGGCAGGGCCACAACGGGCGUCCGUUAUUCCCAGAGGAUGUGGUUUUGGACCUGGGCCCCAGGGCAGCGGAGCCCGAUGGAGCGGAGCCUGGUGGUGCAGGAGGGACAGCCCAGGCCGGUGGCGGCACCUAAGGGUUCCACCGGACCAGGGAAAAACGGAAACAGCUAUGACAACAAUCUCUCCUCUCUCCCCUCCGAGCUCCAGCAACAUCCGGGGCCCCUGUGUCAGGCUCUUUGAAGCUGUGAACUGGGGUCACUGAGAGAGACAGACGGAAGCCAAGAAGGGGUUCCCAUGGAGGGGGACCCCACGGGGCCUGGGCCCACGGGGGGGAGGCCGUAGUUUAGAGAACGGAGGGUAGAGGACAGAAGCGUCUAAGGGGCCCUGGUCUGGGGACAGAUCCUGAGCCUGUGAGCUGUGGGAAAGUCAUUUAAACAAAGCAUCAUUGCAGCCCUGGACACCAUCAGCACCCCGGAGCUUCUUCGAGAGCCGGCGAGAGCCCUGGCUCAGCCGUUGGUCGUCCCAGUGACGGUGCAGACAGCCGGGUCUCUUGGCCCGCUGCGAUGCCGCUCUGCAUCCGUGGAGUAAACACACGUGUGGGUUCCUCCUCUGUAACAUUAGAACGCAUUUGUAGGACUAGAUAUUUGGAACAUGAUCAUCUAGAAGACUAAAAAGAGCUGAAAGCUUUCUGCAUUGUCACAACCCAAAGAUAACCGUUGCCGAGAGUGGCCCUCGGGGCGUUCUGACCUUUCCCUGAUCUCUGCGUCUUAUGUCAUCUUUGACGACAUCACAUGUGCUGUUCUGAAUAU